RNAcentral lists this long non-coding RNA (219 nucleotides) under Lupinus angustifolius (narrow-leaved blue lupine). RNAcentral's name for it is "long non-coding RNA (LANG_LNC000070)". The record is from RNAcentral. Lineage: Eukaryota; Viridiplantae; Streptophyta; Magnoliopsida; Fabales; Fabaceae.
UCCGGGCUAGAAGCGAUGCGUGUGCCCGUCGCCCGUUUGCCGACCAGUAGUAGGGGGCCUCGUCCCCCCGGAGGUACAUGCCGUUGGUGACCCCUGCGGGGUGGACGAGCCUCGCGGGACGCCUUGAAGCGCUAUUCCCCACUGGGCGGCGAGUAGAAUCCUUUGCAGACGACUUAAAUACGCGACGGGGUAUUGUAAGUGGCAGAGUGGCCUUGCUGC